This 526-nucleotide long non-coding RNA is filed under the name Eucalyptus grandis. Its description in RNAcentral is "long non-coding RNA (EGRA_LNC003378)". Lineage: Eukaryota; Viridiplantae; Streptophyta; Magnoliopsida; Myrtales; Myrtaceae. The record is from RNAcentral.
CAGGAGAUGGGCUCGGUCCAGCUGGCGUGAGCGAAGGAAAGAAGAUGGGAGCAGGCGGCGUUGAUUCGGGGGUUUGUGGCUUCGCUUGCUACAGACUGACCGAAGAAGUCCCAGCGUUGGAGAUGAAGACACGAGGCAGAAUGAUUCGGUGGAGUCUUCGUUCGGUGCUGGAGAUGAGUGGCGUGAGUGGCCGACAGGGUCAACAAACAGCAAAGAGCGGCUUCAGUUGACCUGGACGCGUGGAGUCCUGCUUUGUAGGGCGCUGGCAGAGGCGUGCGGACGAUGGAGCAGCUUCGCUCGGUGGAGUUUCGGUCUUCAAGGCUUCGUGGAUGCCGCCAGUCAACUACCAAGGCCAGCGAGAAGAGUUUUGACCGAAGGAGACCAACGGUAGUGGGGCUGGCGUGUGGCUGGCAGAAUCGGUGAAGAAGAGGAACGUGGGCUUCAAUUUGCAAAGGAAGGAGCUGCCGGUCUUCAACAUCAGCUAUUCACGAAGGAGUCGCACGAAGAAAUGAGAAGGGAGAGAGAG